GGCGAACGGGUGCGUAACACGUGAGAAUCUUCCUUUCAGUGAAGGAUACCUCCGAGAAAUCGGAGCUAAUACUGCAUAAGUCCCUACGGGGAGAAAGAUGGCCUCUUGCUAUCGCUGAAAGAUGAGCUCGCGCAUUAUUAGCUUGUUGGUAGGGUAAAGGCCUACCAAGGCUGAGAUGAUUAGCCGGCCUGAGAGGGUGACCGGCCACAUUGGGACUGAGAUACGGCCCAGACUCCUACGGGAGGCAGCAGUGGGGAAUCUUGCACAAUGGGCGAAAGCCUGAUGCAGCGACACCGCGUGGAGGAUGACGGUUUUCGGAUCGUAAACUCCUGUUAAGAGGGACGAAAAGCUUACGAGUAAUAUGCGUAAGUGUUGACGGUACCUCUAGAGAAAGCUCCGGCUAACUUCGUGCCAGCAGCCGCGGUAAGACGAGGGGAGCAAGCGUUAUUCGGAAUUACUGGGCGUAAAGGGCGUGUAGGCGGCAUGCUAAGUCAGUUGUUAAAUUCCUCAGCCUAACUGAGGAACUGCGAUUGAAACUGGCGAGCUAGAGUGCAGAAGAGAGAAGUGGAAUUACCGGAGUAGCGGUAAAAUGCGUAGAUCUCGAUAGGAACACCAAUUGCGAAGGCAGCUUCUUGGUCUGUGCCUGACGCUAAAGCGCGAAAGCGUGGGGAGCAAACAGGAUUAGAUACCCUGGUAGUCCACGCCGUAAACGAUGAUCACUAAACGUAGGUUUUAUUUUGUAAGAUCUGUGUUGGAGCUAACGUAUUAAGUGAUCCGCCUGGGGAGUACGGUCGCAAGAUUAAAACUCAAAGGAAUUGACGGGGGUCCGCACAAGCGGUGGAACAUGUGGUUUAAUUCGACACUACGCGAGGAACCUUACCUAGACUUGACAUGUACUUGCUCGCUGUAGAAAUACAGUUUUUCAAGUUCGCUUGAACAGGUACACAGGUGCUGCAUGGCUGUCGUCAGCUCGUGUCGUGAGAUGUUGGGUUAAGUCCUCUAACGAGCGCAGCCCCUGCCGCCAGUUGCUAUUCCUUCGGGAAGCACUCUGGUGGGACUGCCUAGGAAACUAGGAGGAAGGUGGGGAUGACGUCAAGUCCUCAUGGUCCUUAUGUCUAGGGCUACACACGUGUUACAAUGGUUGGUACAAAGGGAAGCAAUCCUGCGAAGGGGAGCAAACCUCAAAAAGCCAAUCUAAGUUCGGAUUGGAGUCUGCAACUCGACUCCAUGAAGUUGAAAUCGCUAGUAAUCGCGUAUCAGAACGACGCGGUGAAUACGUUCUCGGACCUUGUACACACCGCCCGUCACACCACGAAAGUUCUUUAUACCAGAAAUCAUCUUAGCUAACCUCUUCGGAGGGGGCGGAUGCUGAAGGUAUGGGGGAUGAUUGGGGUGAAGUCGUAACAAGGUA
This 1411-nucleotide ribosomal RNA is filed under the name metagenome. RNAcentral describes it as "bacterial SSU rRNA". It matches the Rfam family "Bacterial small subunit ribosomal RNA". The record is from RNAcentral.